GAUGAACGCUAGCUACAGGCUUAACACAUGCAAGUCGAGGGGCAGCAUGGGGCAGCAAUGUCCCGAUGGCGACCGGCGCACGGGUGAGUAACACGUAUCCAACCUGCCCAUGACCAGGGAAUAACCCGCGGAAACGCGGCCUAAUGCCCUAUGUGCUCCGAAGAGGACAUCUGAUUUGGAGUAAAGAUUCAUCGGUCAUGGAUGGGGAUGCGUCCGAUUAGGUAGUAGGCGGGGCAACGGCCCACCUAGCCUGCGAUCGGUAGGGUUCUGAGAGGAAGGUCCCCCAAUUGGAACUGAGACACGGUCCAAACUCCUACGGGAGGCAGCAGUGAGGAAUAUUGGUCAAUGGGCGAGAGCCUGAACCAGCCAAGUAGCGUGCAGGAUGACGGCCCUAUGGGUUGUAAACUGCUUUUUAGGGCGGGAAUAAGUGCUCCACGUGGUGGGCUAGUUGACGACGGUACCGACGAACGUAAAGUAACGGGACCGGUACUUAACGUUCCGUGACC
RNAcentral lists this ribosomal RNA (506 nucleotides) under uncultured bacterium. RNAcentral describes it as "bacterial SSU rRNA". It matches the Rfam family "Bacterial small subunit ribosomal RNA", at positions 28 to 474 of the family's 1533-position model. The record is from RNAcentral.